This 975-nucleotide ribosomal RNA is filed under the name Bacteroides ovatus. RNAcentral's name for it is "bacterial SSU rRNA". It matches the Rfam family "Bacterial small subunit ribosomal RNA", at positions 64 to 1031 of the family's 1533-position model. The record is from RNAcentral. Lineage: Bacteria; Pseudomonadati; Bacteroidota; Bacteroidia; Bacteroidales; Bacteroidaceae.
GAGGGGCAGCAUUUUAGUUUGCUUGCAAACUGAAGAUGGCGACCGGCGCACGGGUGAGUAACACGUAUCCAACCUGCCGAUAACUCCGGAAUAGCCUUUCGAAAGAAAGAUUAAUACCGGAUGGCAUACGAAUAUCGCAUGAUAUUUUUAUUAAAGAAUUUCGGUUAUCGAUGGGGAUGCGUUCCAUUAGUUUGUUGGCGGGGUAACGGCCCACCAAGACUACGAUGGAUAGGGGUUCUGAGAGGAAGGUCCCCCACAUUGGAACUGAGACACGGUCCAAACUCCUACGGGAGGCAGCAGUGAGGAAUAUUGGUCAAUGGGCGAGAGCCUGAACCAGCCAAGUAGCGUGAAGGAUGAAGGCUCUAUGGGUCGUAAACUUCUUUUAUAUGGGAAUAAAGUUUUCCACGUGUGGAAUUUUGUAUGUACCAUAUGAAUAAGGAUCGGCUAACUCCGUGCCAGCAGCCGCGGUAAUACGGAGGAUCCGAGCGUUAUCCGGAUUUAUUGGGUUUAAAGGGAGCGUAGGUGGAUUGUUAAGUCAGUUGUGAAAGUUUGCGGCUCAACCGUAAAAUUGCAGUUGAAACUGGCAGUCUUGAGUACAGUAGAGGUGGGCGGAAUUCGUGGUGUAGCGGUGAAAUGCUUAGAUAUCACGAAGAACUCCGAUUGCGAAGGCAGCUCACUAGACUGUCACUGACACUGAUGCUCGAAAGUGUGGGUAUCAAACAGGAUUAGAUACCCUGGUAGUCCACACAGUAAACGAUGAAUACUCGCUGUUUGCGAUAUACAGUAAGCGGCCAAGCGAAAGCAUUAAGUAUUCCACCUGGGGAGUACGCCGGCAACGGUGAAACUCAAAGGAAUUGACGGGGGCCCGCACAAGCGGAGGAACAUGUGGUUUAAUUCGAUGAUACGCGAGGAACCUUACCCGGGCUUAAAUUGCAUCAGAAUAUAUUGGAAACAGUAUAGCCGUAAGCUGUUGUG